Molecule: ribosomal RNA, 492 nt
Filed under: uncultured bacterium
Lineage: Bacteria
Description: partial 16S ribosomal RNA
Rfam family: Bacterial small subunit ribosomal RNA
Source: RNAcentral
AGUGAACGCUGGCGGUAGGCCUAACACAUGCAAGUCGAACGGCAGCACAGUAAGAGCUUGCUCUUACGGGUGGUGAGUGGCGGACGGGUGAGGAAUACAUCGGAAUCUACUUUUUCGUGGGGGAUAACGUAGGGAAACUUACGCUAAUACCGCAUACGACCUACGGGUGAAAGCAGGGGAUCUUCGGACCUUGCGCGAUUGAAUGAGCCGAUGUCGGAUUAGAUAGUUGGCGGGGUAAAGGCCCACCAAGGCGACGAUCCGUAGCUGGUCUGAGAGGAUGAUCAGCCACACUGGAACUGAGACACGGUCCAGACUCCUACGGGAGGCAGCAGUGGGGAAUAUUGGACAAUGGGCGCAAGCCUGAUCCAGCCAUACCGAGUGUGUGAAGACGGCCUUCGGGUUGUAAAGCCCUUUUGUUGGGAAAGAACAGCAGCAGGUUAAUACCACGCUGUUCUGACGGUACCCAAAGAAUAAGCACCGGCUAACUUCGUG